RNAcentral lists this unclassified non-coding RNA (244 nucleotides) under uncultured fungus. RNAcentral describes it as "sequence contains 5.8S rRNA gene". The stretch from base 1 to 53 matches the Rfam family "5.8S ribosomal RNA", at positions 102 to 154 of the family's 154-position model. The record is from RNAcentral. Lineage: Eukaryota; Fungi.
GAACGCAUCUUGCGCCCUUUGGUAUUCCGAAGGGCAUGCCUGUUUGAGUGUCAUGAAAACAUCAUCCCAUCGGGUUUCCGAUGGCAUGGACUUGGGUGUUGCCGUCCGGCUCGCCUCAAAAGCCUUAGUGGUUCGAUCGAAUCUGGCGUAAUAAGUUUCGCUGGCCUAGUGACGUCUGCUUUACCCGUCUUCUGACAUUUUUGCUCUGACCUCAAAUCAGGUAGGACUACCCGCUGAACUUAAG